Molecule: ribosomal RNA, 425 nt
Filed under: uncultured bacterium
Lineage: Bacteria
Description: partial 16S ribosomal RNA
Rfam family: Bacterial small subunit ribosomal RNA
Source: RNAcentral
GUGGGGAAUAUUGGACAAUGGGCGCAAGCCUGAUCCAGCCAUGCCGCGUGUGUGAUGAAGGCCUUAGGGUUGUAAAGCACUUUUGUCCGGGAAGAUAAUGACUGUACCGGAAGAAUAAGCCCCGGUUAACUUCGUGCCAGCAGCCGCGGUAAUACGAAGGGGGCUAGCGUUGCUCGGAAUCACUGGGCGUAAAGGGCGCGUAGGCGGACUCUUAAGUCGGGGGUGAAAGCCCAGGGCUCAACCCUGGAAUUGCCUUCGAUACUGAGAGUCUUGAGUUCGGAAGAGGUUGGUGGAACUGCGAGUGUAGAGGUGAAAUUCGUAGAUAUUCGCAAGAACACCAGUGGCGAAGGCGGCCAACUGGUCCGAUACUGACGCUGAGGCGCGAAAGCGUGGGGAGCAAACAGGAUUAGAAACCCUUGUAGUCC